RNAcentral lists this transfer RNA (74 nucleotides) under Phrynosoma platyrhinos (Desert horned lizard). RNAcentral's name for it is "tRNA-OTHER". The stretch from base 11 to 74 matches the Rfam family "tRNA". From Rfam's summary of the family: Transfer RNA (tRNA) molecules are approximately 80 nucleotides in length. Their secondary structure includes four short double-helical elements and three loops (D, anti-codon, and T loops). Further hydrogen bonds mediate the characteristic L-shaped molecular structure. tRNAs have two regions of fundamental functional importance: the anti-codon, which is responsible for specific mRNA codon recognition, and the 3' end, to which the tRNAs corresponding amino acid is attached (by aminoacyl-tRNA synthetases). tRNAs cope with the degeneracy of the genetic code in two manners: having more than one tRNA (with a specific anti-codon) for a particular amino acid; and 'wobble' base-pairing, i.e. permitting non-standard base-pairing at the 3rd anti-codon position. Lineage: Eukaryota; Metazoa; Chordata; Lepidosauria; Squamata; Phrynosomatidae. The record is from RNAcentral.
GAGUCAUUGUGACAUAGUGGUUUGAAUGUUGGACUAUGACUCUAGAGACCAGGGUUCAAUUCCCUGCUUGCUCA